Molecule: ribosomal RNA, 439 nt
Filed under: uncultured bacterium
Lineage: Bacteria
Description: partial 16S ribosomal RNA
Rfam family: Bacterial small subunit ribosomal RNA
Source: RNAcentral
CCUACGGGUGGCAGCAGUGGGGAAUAUUGCACAAUGGGCGAAAGCCUGAUGCAGCGACGCCGCGUGAGCGAUGAAGGCCUUCGGGUCGUAAAGCUCUGUCCUCAAGGAAGAUAAUGACGGGACUUGAGGAGGAAGCCCCGGCUAACUACGUGCCAGCAGCCGCGGUAAUACGUGGGGGGCUAGCGGUAUCCGGAAUUUCUGGGCGGAAAGGGUGGGGAGGGGGUUUGUUAAGUCAGAGGUGAAAGGCUACGGCCAAACCGUAGUAAGCCUUUGAAACUGGGAAACUUGAGUGCAGGAGAGGAGAGUGGAAUUCCUAGUGUAGCGGUGAAAUGCGUAGAUAGUAGGAGGAACACCAGUUGCGAAGGCGGCUCUCUGGACUGUAACUGACACUGAGGCACGAAAGCGUGGGGAGCAAACAGGAUUAGAUACCCCGGUAGUC